Molecule: ribosomal RNA, 460 nt
Filed under: uncultured bacterium
Lineage: Bacteria
Description: partial 16S ribosomal RNA
Rfam family: Bacterial small subunit ribosomal RNA
Source: RNAcentral
CCUACGGGAGGCAGCAGUGAGGAAUAUUGGUCAAUGGGCGGAAGCCUGAACCAGCAAAGUAGCGUGCAGGAUGACGGCCCUACGGGUUGUAAACUGCUUUUAUACGGGAAUAACGCGCCUUACGUGUAGGGCUUUGCAUGUACCGUAUGAAUAAGGACCGGCUAAUUCCGUGCCAGCAGCCGCGGUAAUACGGAAGGUCAGGGCGUUAUCCGGAUUUAUUGGGUUGAAAGGGAGCGUAGGCCGCAUGUCAAGCGUGCUGUGAAAUGUCCGGGCUCAACCCGGGCCUUGCAGCGCGAACUGGCGUGCUUGAGUGCGCGGAAGGCAGGCGGAAUUCGUCGUGUAGCGGUGAAAUGCUUAGAUAUGACGAAGAACCCCGAUUGCGAAGGCGGCUUGCUGGGCUUUUACUGACGCUGAGGCUCGAAAGCGUGGGGAGCAAACAGGAUUAGAUACCCCGGUAGUC